GACGAACGCUGGCGGCGUGCUUAACACAUGCAAGUCGAACGGAAAGGCCCUGCUUUUGUGGGGUGCUCGAGUGGCGAACAGGUGAGUAACACGUGAGUAACCUGCCCUUGACUUUGGGAUAACCUCAGGAAACUGGGGCUAAUACCGGAUAGGAGCUCCUGCUGCAUGGUGGGGGUUGGAAAGUUUCGGCGGUUGGGGAUGGACUCGCGGCUUAUCAGCUUGUUGGUGGGGUAGUGGCUUACCAAGGCUUUGACGGGUAGCCGGCCUGGGAGGGGGACCGGCCACAUUGGGACUGAGAUACGGCCCAGACUCCUACGGGAGGCAGCAGUGGGGAAUAUUGCACAAUGGGCGGAAGCCUGAUGCAGCAACGCCGCGUGGGGUAUGACGGCCUGCGGGUUGUAAACCGCUUUCGCCUGUGACGAAGCGUGAGUGACGGUAAUGGGUAAAGAAGCACCGGCUAACUACGUG
Molecule: ribosomal RNA, 468 nt
Filed under: uncultured bacterium
Lineage: Bacteria
Description: partial 16S ribosomal RNA
Rfam family: Bacterial small subunit ribosomal RNA
Source: RNAcentral